CGGGCCGUCGUAUAAUGGUAGUACGCGUGGCUGGGGGUCAUGCAGCUGGAGUUCGAUUCUCCACGGCCCGACCA
This 74-nucleotide transfer RNA is filed under the name Candidatus Yanofskybacteria bacterium RIFCSPHIGHO2_01_FULL_41_26. RNAcentral describes it as "tRNA-Pro". It matches the Rfam family "tRNA". Rfam says of the family: Transfer RNA (tRNA) molecules are approximately 80 nucleotides in length. Lineage: Bacteria; Candidatus Yanofskyibacteriota. The record is from RNAcentral. RNAcentral also lists the same sequence under 1 other name.